AUGUUCAAUAGGACAGUAAUCUUGUGUGCACAUGGUCUAAAAGUGCUUGAUUUGAUGAACAUAAAGACAUUGCCGGCACAUUAUGUCUUGAAGAGAUGGACUAGAGAAGCUCGCAAUGGAAGUAUACAAGAUAGACAAGGAAGGAAUGUGGUAGAAAAUCCAAAAAUGAAAGCUGAACUUCGAUACAAGGAUUUGUCUCAUAAAUUUCACAAAAUGUUACAAAAAGCAGCCAACUCUCCACAAUGUUGUAUUCUAUUGGAUAAUGCACUUGAUUCCGUCGCUCCGCAUAUACAUGAUUUACUCAAUGCAUCCACUAGUGCCAUGAAUGAACUAUGUAAAGACAAAGAGAAUGUUGACCCAAAUGUGCAGCAAAUAGAUGAGUUGCUUAGAUCUGCACGACUGAAGAAAAAAGAGAUUCAGUCAAAGAACUUAAGGAGAAAGGAAAAUUGGCUUGAUACGUUACUCAAGAGGAAGCACAGAGUAACUAAAGGACCAACAAAACAAGGAGAAAAGAUAUGUUGCAAUUGGUACAUGAUAUGUUGUUAUUGCUCAUUUGUUAACUAA
RNAcentral lists this ribosomal RNA (564 nucleotides) under Triticum aestivum (bread wheat). RNAcentral describes it as "partial small subunit ribosomal RNA". The record is from RNAcentral. Lineage: Eukaryota; Viridiplantae; Streptophyta; Magnoliopsida; Poales; Poaceae.